RNAcentral lists this long non-coding RNA (991 nucleotides) under Sus scrofa (pig). Its description in RNAcentral is "lncRNA (ENSSSCG00015030738.1)". The record is from RNAcentral. Lineage: Eukaryota; Metazoa; Chordata; Mammalia; Artiodactyla; Suidae.
GGAAGCACUAAGUAAGUAUUUAGCCAUGCUCCGUCAUGUUACUGUUACUGUAUUUUGCAGCCCUCUUAAGCGGGCCUUUUUCUUACAGAUCCGGGAACAUAAAAGUGACUGCAGAACAGGCCAGAGAUGGGAGGCGUUGCUCAAAUUCACAUGACUUUCUUUCAAAGAAUAUAUGUGUAUAACUGAGUCCCUUUGCUGUCCAGCAGGAAUUAAGACAACACUGUAAAUCAACUAUACUUCAAUUCAAUUUUAAAAAAAUGAUCACAAGGGACUUUCUUUGUGUCUGCAUAUGCUUUAUCCCAGCAAGGAAGGAUAUAAAGAAAGGAGACAGGAGUUCUCGUCGUGGCGCAGUGGUUAACGAAUCCGACUAGGAACCAUGAGGUUGUGGGUUCGGUCCCUGCCCUUGCUCAGGGGUUAAGGACCUAGCAUUGCCCUGAGCUGUGGUGUAGGUCACAGAUCCAGCUCGGAUCCCAUGUUGCUGUGGCUCUGGCGUAGGCUGGAGGCUACAACUUUGAUUCAGCCUCUAGCCUGUGAACCUCCAUAUGCCGCAGGUACAGUCCUAAAAAGACUAAUAAUAAUAAUAAUAAUAAUAAUAAUAAAUAUAAAUGGCCAGAAAGUUUUGUCCAAGUUCAUAAAACUGUGCUCUCAAAAUACAAGGGGGCUAUCACAGAAAAAGCAAAAAGCCUGGAGACCCAGUUUUAAUAUUAUUGUAAGGAAUUAUGUGCAGGCAGAGAGCUAAGUGCCAUACAAAUAUUAACUCACUUAUUUGUCUUACCCCCUUAGGGUAGGCAAUGUAAGUAUCCUUAUUCUACUAUGAGGAAACUGAAGCAGUGGGAAAUAAAGACUAAAGAAAUUGGAGUUCCCUGGUGGCCUACUGUUUAAGGACCUGGCAUGGUCACCACUGUGGCUCACGGGUCACUGCUCUGGUGUGGGUUUAGUCCCUGGCCUGGAACAUCUGCAUGCCACCCACAGGCACAGCCAUAAAAAAAAA